UACGUAGGGUGCGAGCGUUAAUCGGAAUUACUGGGCGUAAAGCGUGCGCAGGCGGUGAUGUAAGACAGUUGUGAAAUCCCCGGGCUCAACCUGGGAAUUGCAUUUGUGACUGUAUAGCUGGAGUGCGGCAGAGGGGGAUGGAAUUCCGCGUGUAGCAGUGAAAUGCGUAGAUAUGCGGAGGAACACCGAUGGCGAAGGCAAUCCCCUGGGCCUGCACUGACGCUCAUGCACGAAAGCGUGGGGAGCAAACAGG
Molecule: ribosomal RNA, 253 nt
Filed under: uncultured bacterium
Lineage: Bacteria
Description: partial 16S ribosomal RNA
Rfam family: Bacterial small subunit ribosomal RNA
Source: RNAcentral